AGUGAACGCUGGCGGUAGGCCUAACACAUGCAAGUCGAACGGCAGCACCGUAAGAGCUUGCUCUUACGGGUGGCGAGUGGCGGACGGGUGAGGAAUACAUCGGAAUCUACUUUUUCGUGGGGGAUCACGUAGGGAAACUUACGCUAAUACCGCAUACGACCUACGGGUGAAAGCAGGGGAUCUUCGGACCUUGUGCGAUUGAAUGAGCCGAUGUCGGAUUAGCUAGUUGGCGGGGUAAAGGCCCACCAAGGCGACGAUCCGUAGCUGGUCUGAGAGGAUGAUAGGCGACACUGGAACGUAGACACGGACCAGAGGCCUGCGGGAGGCAGCAGUGGGGAAUGUUGGACAAUGGGCGCAAGCCUGAUCCAGCCAUAGCGCGUGGGUGAAGAAGGCCUUCGGGUUGUAAAGCCCGUUUGUUGGGAAAGAAAAGCAGCAGGUUAAUACCCCGCUGUUCUGACGGUACCCAAAGAAUAAGCACCGGCUAACUUCGUG
RNAcentral lists this ribosomal RNA (492 nucleotides) under uncultured bacterium. Its description in RNAcentral is "partial 16S ribosomal RNA". It matches the Rfam family "Bacterial small subunit ribosomal RNA", at positions 29 to 507 of the family's 1533-position model. The record is from RNAcentral.